This is a non-coding RNA of Ctenopharyngodon idella (grass carp), 651 nucleotides long. The record is from the annotation of a RefSeq genome assembly. NCBI's taxonomy places the organism in Eukaryota, Metazoa, Chordata, Actinopteri, Cypriniformes, Xenocyprididae.
ACACUAUAAGAUGUAAAUGCUUUUAAAAGUUAUUCCAACAUGUAGCAACUGUGUGUCCACUUAAUAAAGAGUGUAAUAUUAGAUAAAUCAGACUGACAUAAUGGCAGUUUUAGGUUGUUGACUACAGCUUCUUCCUAUACAGUCAGUAUUUGUAGGGUAAGAUGAGCAAGAAGGUACAGUAAGUGUGGGAGGAGCUCAAUGUUUGUCGACUCCUGCAGAAUAAAUCAAAUAGACAACACUGACUUCCCUUCAUACUGAUGAUACUGACAGAAUCUGAACUCAAACUACAGAAACAUGUUACUCAUCACUUCUGUUUUAAUAUUUAUCCUCAGUUACUGUGAAGCGAAUGGGAAUGUCAUCAGACCAGAUCAACCAUCUGUAGUUUUAACUGAAGGAAGCAGCAUCAGUCUGUCCUGUACAUUUGAUGGAUCAGCUUACAGUCUCCACUGGUACCGGCAGAUGCCUGGAUCAAGACCAGAGUUUCUGCUGCUGAUUGUGAAGUCUACUAAAACUGAAGUUCAAGCUUCUCCACCUCACCCGCAUAUGUCCAUCAGACUUCAUGAUAAACGUGUGGAUCUGGAGAUCUCCUCUGCUGCAGUAUCAGACUCUGCAGUGUAUUACUGUGCUCUGGAGCCCACAGUGACAGGAAAC